This 497-nucleotide ribosomal RNA is filed under the name uncultured bacterium. Its description in RNAcentral is "partial 16S ribosomal RNA". It matches the Rfam family "Bacterial small subunit ribosomal RNA", at positions 36 to 507 of the family's 1533-position model. The record is from RNAcentral.
UCUUCCCUCUGGCGGCGUGCCUAAUACAUGCAAGUCGAGCGAACAGACGAGGAGAUUGCUCCUCUGACGUUAGCGGCGGACGGGUGAGUAACACGUGGAUAACCUACCUAUAAGACUGGGAUAACUUCGGGAAACCGGAGCUAAUACCGGAUAAUAUAUUGAACAGCAUGGUUCAAUAGUGAAAGACGGUUUUGCUGUCACUUAUAGAUGGAUCCGCGCCGCAUUAGCUAGUUGGUAAGGUAACGGCUUACCAAGGCAACGAUGCGUAGCCGACCUGAGAGGGUGAUCGGCCACACUGGAACUGAGACACGGUCCAGACUCCUACGGGAGGCAGCAGUAGGGAAUCUUCCGCAAUGGGCGAAAGCCUGACGGAGCAACGCCGCGUGAGUGAUGAAGGUCUUCGGAUCGUAAAACUCUGUUAUUAGGGAAGAACAAAUGUGUAAGUAACUAUGCACGUCUUGACGGUACCUAAUCAGAAAGCCACGGCUAACUACGUG